Molecule: transfer RNA, 77 nt
Filed under: Usitatibacter rugosus
Lineage: Bacteria; Pseudomonadati; Pseudomonadota; Betaproteobacteria; Nitrosomonadales; Usitatibacteraceae
Description: Nitrosomonadales bacterium 0125_3 tRNA-Ser
Source: RNAcentral
GCUCUCGGUGGGCGCGGCGAUCGCGGUCUCGCGCUGGAAGCGCGAGAGCAAGCCCUCGGUCCUUCCGGGCGAGCGCU